UCNCAUGGUGCAAAGCUCAUGACUUCUUG
RNAcentral lists this non-coding RNA (29 nucleotides) under Mus musculus (house mouse). Lineage: Eukaryota; Metazoa; Chordata; Mammalia; Rodentia; Muridae. The record is from RNAcentral.